Molecule: long non-coding RNA, 472 nt
Organism: Mya arenaria
Lineage: Eukaryota; Metazoa; Mollusca; Bivalvia; Myida; Myidae
Exons: 4
Source: RefSeq, a predicted model, not a curated record
GAGAGAGGUUCAAACGGGUUCAAAACAUCGAAUUUGACCGACACUGAACAGAGGUAUAUGGCUAUUUUCUUUGAAAAUAUAACACUUUCUAGUUCAAAAGAUAAAACCCAGAUGUAUACAUGGCCUGGAUUUCCAUAUUAUGCUGCCCAGAAUAAAAGACGAUGCAGUCCAGAUAAAAACAUUGUAUGGCUCAAUAAUCUUUACCAAACUUGAUGCAUCAGAUGAAGUCUUUGACUUUCUAGAAAGGGAUUUUGUAAGCUAGUACUGGACAUGAAGACAGUCACUUGGAAAUGAUGAUUGUGCAACAGCGGUUAAACAUAUGCAAUACAUCAUAUGGUGACCAGACAGGGAGGAAACUAGGGAAAUGGUUAUCCACCAACAGCCCAAGUGCUUGGUUGAUAAGAGGAGCCACAGCAUUAAACAUUACUGCACAAAGUGGUGUGCUUUGCUAACACUUAUGAUUGUGAUUUGA